CGGAACGGGUGAGUAAUAUAUCGGAACGUGCCCAGUCGUGGGGGAUAACUGCUCGAAAGAGCAGCUAAUACCGCAUACGACCUGAGGGUGAAAGCGGGGGAUCGUAAGACCUCGCGCGAUUGGAGCGGCCGAUAUCAGAUUAGGUAGUUGGUGGGGUAAAGGCUCACCAAGCCAACGAUCUGUAGCUGGUCUGAGAGGACGACCAGCCACACUGGGACUGAGACACGGCCCAA
This 233-nucleotide ribosomal RNA is filed under the name uncultured bacterium. RNAcentral describes it as "partial 16S ribosomal RNA". It matches the Rfam family "Bacterial small subunit ribosomal RNA", at positions 100 to 334 of the family's 1533-position model. The record is from RNAcentral.